ACGGGAGGCAGCAGUGGGGAAUAUUGGGCAAUGGGGGAAACCCUGACCGAGCAACGCCGCGUGAAGGAAGAAGGCUUUCGGGUUGUAAACUUCCUUUACCAGGGACGAAGAACGUGACGGUACCUGGAGAAAAAGCCACGGCUAACUACGUGCCAGCAGCCGCGGUAAUACGUAGGUGGCAAGCGUUAUCCGGAUUUACUGGGUGUAAAGGGCGUGUAGGCGGGACAUCAAGUCAGAUGUGAAAGCACGAGGCUCAACUUCGUGUCUGCAUUUGAAACUGACGUUCUUGAGUGUUGGAGAGGCUAACGGAACUCCUAGUGUAGCGGUGAAAUGCGUAGAUAUUAGGAAGAACACCAGUGGCGAAGGCGGUUAGCUGGACAAUAACUGACGCUGAGGCGCGAAAGCGUGGGUAGCAAACAGGAUUAGAUACCCUGGUA
The sequence is a ribosomal RNA, 437 nucleotides long. It matches the Rfam family "Bacterial small subunit ribosomal RNA", at positions 341 to 792 of the family's 1533-position model.